This 252-nucleotide ribosomal RNA is filed under the name uncultured bacterium. RNAcentral's name for it is "partial 16S ribosomal RNA". It matches the Rfam family "Bacterial small subunit ribosomal RNA", at positions 524 to 776 of the family's 1533-position model. The record is from RNAcentral.
UGCGGAGGAUGCGAGCGUUAUCCGGAUUUAUUGGGUUUAAAGGGUGCGUAGGCGGGAUGCCAAGUCAGCGGUAAAAAUGCGGUGCUCAACGCCGUCGAGCCGUCGAAACUGGCGUUCUUGAGUGGGCGAGAAGUAUGCGGAAUGCGUGGUGUAGCGGUGAAAUGCAUAGAUAUCACGCAGAACUCCGAUUGCGAAGGCAGCAUACCGGCGCCCUACUGACGCUGAGGCACGGAAGCGUGGGUAUCGAACAGG